Molecule: long non-coding RNA, 590 nt
Organism: Bombus pascuorum
Lineage: Eukaryota; Metazoa; Arthropoda; Insecta; Hymenoptera; Apidae
Exons: 3
Source: RefSeq, a predicted model, not a curated record
ACCUCUACAAGACAGCCGGUCCAAUGUUUCUUUAAAUCGUCACUAGAGAGCAUCAACGUUCGAAUGAAAAUCUAUUACAUUUUCCUAUAUGUUAUAUUACUAAUUUUUACAUAAUUGUAAAAGAUUUCCUUAUAAAUUCUAUUAUAAAGAGCAUGUCAAUUCAUUUUUUUUAUUUUACAAUCAUAUACGAUUCAGAAAACAACUAAAUUUGUUUGGACUUUGAUUAAUUAACUGCGUAAACAGGUUGACCAACUUUAGUAUGAUCAUUAUUUCACUGAAAAAUAGAUAUGUAUAUUUACCAAAAUAUUUUUCAAGAGAUGAUAAAAUUGUAAAUUCUUACUUAAUCAUGUUCGAACAUUAGCGUUAAGUAUAUAAAAUAAAAAAUAGUAAUGAUACUCUACUAAAUAAUAUAAGUAAAUCUUAGUAUAAACAUAAACUGGUAUAAACAAUAUUAUAUGAAAAAUGUUUACUCCAUUUUUGUAUAUUUUUAAAUUUUCUACUUUUUAUUAGCAUGUCUCCUUCUAAAAUAAGAUAUUGUAUAAAAUAGAUCAGUAGUAGAGUAAUAGUACCAGUAGUACCAAGGAGUAGAC